RNAcentral lists this ribosomal RNA (424 nucleotides) under uncultured bacterium. Its description in RNAcentral is "bacterial SSU rRNA". It matches the Rfam family "Bacterial small subunit ribosomal RNA", at positions 355 to 776 of the family's 1533-position model. The record is from RNAcentral.
UGAGGAAUAUUGGUCAAUGGGCGAGAGCCUGAACCAGCCAAGUAGCGUGCAGGAAGACGGCCCUAUGGGUUGUAAACUGCUUUUAUACGGGGAUAAAGUGGGCCACGUGUGGCUUAUUGCAGGUACCGUAUGAAUAAGGACCGGCUAAUUCCGUGCCAGCAGCCGCGGUAAUACGGAAGGUCCGGGCGUUAUCCGGAUUUAUUGGGUUUAAAGGGAGCGUAGGCCGUCUGUUAAGCGUGUUGUGAAAUGUCGGGGCUCAACCUGGGCAUUGCAGCGCGAACUGGCAGACUUGAGUGCGCAGGAAGUAGGCGGAAUUCGUCGUGUAGCGGUGAAAUGCUUAGAUAUGACGAAGAACUCCGAUUGCGAAGGCAGCCUGCUGUAGCGUAACUGACGCUGAAGCUCGAAAGCGUGGGUAUCGAACAGG